RNAcentral lists this long non-coding RNA (1091 nucleotides) under Bemisia tabaci. Its description in RNAcentral is "lncRNA ENSSSA2NGG010855". Lineage: Eukaryota; Metazoa; Arthropoda; Insecta; Hemiptera; Aleyrodidae. The record is from RNAcentral.
CUGCUUCUGCGUUCUCCGCGGUAAGGAGGGCGCGCGCGCAUUCAUUUCGCGACGGUCUAAACCCCUUUGUGUGGUGGUUCAUUAGUUCAAACCCCCAAUUUCUAUAUUUCUAACACCUGAUUUUAUAUUUGAAUCAGUGCUGAAGUGAGGUCUGCGUUCGGUUUCUGUGUGAUUUCGAUGAGUUCCGGUUCCCCGUGCGAUUCGUCGGAUUUGUGUUUGUUUUGAGUGUUGUGAUCGCUUGGCUAACUAUUGGAGUCCCUCUUCUUGCUUGGAUCUUUUUAUGGUGUUGAGGGAUGUGGGAGACCUGCCCGCAGCCGGGGCCGCCCCCGCUCCGCCACUCGGCCUCCUUCUCGUGCCUCCCGCGGGGUCUCCGGGACCCGCGCCCCCACCGGGCCCGCACGGCCACCCUCCCGACGGCCACCGUGGACACGGACUACGGCUUCGUCCGCCACCCCCGCACUCACCAUGCCCACCGCUACGACUCCGUCCCCGAAGAGGACCUCCUGGACACCCCCAAGAAAGACACGAACCACUCCUUCCGCGAGGUCCUCGUCAAGAAGUCCGCCUCCAUCCUCUCGCCGACCCAGUGGUGGACGCCGAGAAGACGGGCCCGUGGCAAGGACUGCGACCGGCCCGAGGUGCAGCGUCGGUGGCGCUCCCUGGGCGCCCUUCUCAAGACGUCCACGACGGCCAUUCAACCCCCGCAGCCGGCCUCCCCGCACGCCCAGAGCUUCUACCUCCUGGACGACUUCCUCGGGCCGCCCAAGCCCAGGCGCAGCGGGGGCGCCAACACGACGAGCAGCUCCGACUCUCUGGAGCUCAGCUCCCCGGUGCCCCCACCUGUACCCCCGCCGCCACCCCCGCUCCGCCUUCUCGGAUACAAGCAGCCCUGCGAGUGCUGCCGCUGCCGCCGACAGAGGGAGCGCCUUGUCCUCACCGAUUGGAUGGUAAGAACUCAUUUGAAUUUUUCUUGUUCACCACAUGAGAGCGGACGAAUCGAGGUAUGUAAACACCUACAAUUUGAGUCCUCAUUACAUGGACACAAUAUUAUUGACUAUUAAUACAAAAAUCGUUGAGACCUAUGUCCAAAA